CAUUUUAAGAACCCUACAUAAUUUGACUAUCACCUUCUAACAAAAACCUUCUAACCUACAACUAACUCCUUUUCUCAAUUUCAACCAAAAACCAAUUCCUCUCUUCAUUUUUCACCCACUGACUUCACCAACAAUUCAAAUUAAUUCCUUCUACUACCUCUAACUCAAUACUAACAAACUUCAUUUUUCCUCAUGAACUUCCCUUCCAACAAAACCUUCAUUUCAAUUCACCUUCCAACUAACUUCUUCACAAACCUUCUAACUAUUUCUCAUAACAGUCUAACUUUCCAAAACUAACUUCUAUAACUAACCUAACUGACUUGUAACCAUUUUUUAACCAACUUCCUAACAUACUAACAAAUUCAUAAAAACCCUAACAGAAUGGAAGAGAAGCCAUAAUAUAAUUUAACAAGGAGCUAACAUAAUCAAAAGCCAUGUAUAAACACAAUUCAUUUUCAUCAUUUCAGAUUCUCAUUUUUUCACAUUCACAACUCACAUUUUUUCACAUUCACAACUCUCAUUUUCAUAUUUUUCGAUUCAUCACCUCUUCAAUUUCAGACUUCAUUUCUCAUAAUUCACACUCCUU
This 586-nucleotide long non-coding RNA is filed under the name Lathyrus oleraceus (garden pea). RNAcentral describes it as "Pisum sativum (pea) long non-coding RNA (PSAT_LNC034454)". The record is from RNAcentral. Lineage: Eukaryota; Viridiplantae; Streptophyta; Magnoliopsida; Fabales; Fabaceae.